RNAcentral lists this ribosomal RNA (492 nucleotides) under uncultured bacterium. RNAcentral's name for it is "partial 16S ribosomal RNA". It matches the Rfam family "Bacterial small subunit ribosomal RNA", at positions 29 to 507 of the family's 1533-position model. The record is from RNAcentral.
AGUGAACGCUGGCGGUAGGCCUAACACAUGCAAGUCGAACGGCAGCACAGUAAGAGCUUGCUCUUACGGGUGGCGAGUGGCGGACGGGUGAGGAAUACAUCGGAAUCUACUUUUUCGUGAGGGAUAACGUAGGGAAACUUACGCUAAUACCGCAUACGACCUACGGGUGAAAGCAGGGGAUCUUCGGACCUUGAGCGAUUGAAUGAGCCGAUGUCGGAUUAGCUAGUUGGCGGGGUAAAGGCCCACCAAGGCGACGAUCCGUAGCUGGUCUGAGAGGAUGAUCAGCCACACUGGAACUGAGACACGGUCCAGACUCCUACGGGAGGCAGCAGUGGGGAAUAUUGGACAAUGGGCGCAAGCCUGAUCCAGCCAUACCGCGUGGGUGAAGAAGGCCUUCGGGUUGUAAAGCCCUUUUGUUGGGAAAGAAAAGCAGCAGGUUAAUACCCCGCUGUUCUGACGGUACCCAAAGAAUAAGCACCGGCUAACUUCGUG